RNAcentral lists this long non-coding RNA (3134 nucleotides) under Capra hircus (goat). RNAcentral's name for it is "lncRNA (ENSCHIG00010023967.1)". Lineage: Eukaryota; Metazoa; Chordata; Mammalia; Artiodactyla; Bovidae. The record is from RNAcentral.
GAGAAGCGGCGGAUGGUUUUUAAACAGCCUGAUGACUCACUCAGCCUUGAGUCUCUCCACCCUGAGGCUGGCUGUGGAUCAGGCUUUCUUUGGGGGUGGAAGGACCGUGGCUCCACAGAUGAGCAAAAGAAAUGAAAGAGCCCCCUCCUUUGAGUGCGCUUACAGCCUGGCGAGGAGGGCAGAUGCGUAAAUGAUAACCUCAGAACAUGAUGCGCCGGGGUAAUGAGUUAGCCCAUGUCUGUGGAUAUUUGAUCAACUGCUGUGUGUUCCGCGCCGAUGAAGGGACAGGAUGUGGUACUGCCUUCGAAGAAAGAGGUGGUGGAUGAGGGAGGAAAUAAAGGGAAAGGAAAAUUUCAGGUGGUGAUAAGAAAAUGUAAAACAGCAGAAGGUGAUCAGGGAAGGCAGCCCACCAGCCCAGGUGGCAGGGCAGACAGUGGGCAGGGAGACAGGGCGUCCUGGGUGGGUCCCCUGGGGCCCAGCAGCCUGGCCGCCUCCUCCCAGAGUUGCCCCCGUCACACCUGAGAACAAACCCAGGGCUGACGUGGAUUCCUGACUUGGAGCCCGAGCAGGGGGAGAGAGGGGAGAAAAAACACCCAUCUGUUCUCCUCUGAUGGAACGCGAUUCUUCACCCAGUGCUUAAAACCCCGCGCUUCUCCCAUUUCCUCUCGGCAGCCACGUGAUGUGAUAUAAAUCGCUGAAAAUGGGUUUUCCCAGCCAGUUGCUGUGUUGUUUUAAUAAUGGUUCAUUUUCUGCCCUGGGGAAAAAAUAUUCCGUGGAGAAUUUGGGAGCUGGGGGCUCAUUUUGUCUGUAUGUGUGUGUGUGUGUCUCUGUAGGGUUGGGGGUGCCUGUUGGCCCUGGGCAGGCUCCAGCUCACCUUUCCCAGCCCAGAAUACAUGAUGGAACUCUAUGGUCUUGUCCAGGUUCAGGAUCAGGCACAAGCAUGCCCUGACCUGGACCUCAGUGACUGGACAUCCCUGGGACACACCUGGGGCACACCUGGAGCGUACCUUCCAGGCUUCCGGCCACUAGUCCAUCUCGAUCCUGCUCAACCAGUGUCAGAAGGACAACAGGCAUCUGAAUGGAAUCACUUUUCCUGCUGAAACACAAAAUUGGGGACACGCACAGGGUGCUCACAACGGGCCAGGCCUGAUCCUCUGCACUUCACACUCAUUAUGAACUCACAACAGCCAGUGCUGCUGGCCAAGAAUGGUGCUUCCUGCCCAUCUUGUGGGUGAGGUCAUGUGACUAGUUCUAACCAAUGAGCUUCGAGUGGAACUGACGCACAUUAUUCCCAUGCUAGAGCAUCUAACUGUCUGUGCAGGAACUUCCAAAGCUCUUAUGUCCCUCUGGUGUGACAGCCAGAAAUGUUCCAGAAUGUUCCAGAAUGUGAAUGCUCCACUAAUGACUAUGAUGUGCAAAGCCUCCCCUCAGUGACCCAAAACAGACACGAAACAUGAAUGAGAAAUAAACUUUGUGAUUUUCAGGCACUGAGACAUUGUUUUUUUUUUGUUUCUGCAGCUGGGCCUAGUCUUGCCUAAUGGUUUGAAAUUACACCCCCAUUUUACAGGUAAGAAAACUGACGCAAAGUUUAAGUCACUUGCCCUUAGUCACACAGCUGGUAAGUGACACUGUCAGAGAUAGUGUCUUGGCAACCUGACUCCAGGGACUCUGCUCUGAUUUCUAAACUGUCUCUCUGGGUGAGAUGCAGUCAUCCUGGGGACCAGGAAUGUAUGGAAAGUUCAUAAACCACAGUGGAUUCUGGGUGGGGUUGUUUCCUCCUAUCCUGUUCCCUCUGAUUGGGGAUUUUCAUUUCUUUCUCUCAUGAGCACUGGCUCUCCUGGAAGGUUUGGCUCUAUCAAAUCCUCUGGAGGAGACACAGGAGGCUGGGUAAAAGGACAGGGAGCUUUCUCCUCCCCAGUCCUCACUCAGAAAGUUUAAUUCAUUUGGCAUAAACUUGACCUUCUGGGGGCCCAAUCCUUCCAGUCCUAGCAGACCUCCACUUCCUUCCCCACCUCCUACACCUUCACUGUGGGAGCCCCAACCCUUCCUCCGCUGCUGCCUGUAUGAGCUGGUGAUCAAGUAUUACAGGGGAGAAAAUUUCCAAGGCCAGAGAGCAGAGCUCUGAGCUGAGGUUUUAGAAAUAUCCUUUCACCUCUUCACCCAGCCUGCUUCCCUUCCUCUUUCAGGGCCUGCGAGGUCCUCCUGAAGCCCCCAGAGAACCAGAACCAUGCCCCCACCUGCCCUCAGAGAUUCCCAGGGAUACCUACCGAGGCAGGGCUCAGGACACCUCUAUGCAAACCUCAGCAACUCCUGCCCUGACCAGUUAACUCAAUACUUACUCUACAUUAAAUACCAAUUGGGCCAAUUUUCUGCUGUAAUUAAAACCUCAGCAGAUGGGUUCCCUGCUCAUCAGUGAUGAGUUUAUUAAUGUCCAGCUCUGAAGGAAUGUGGGGCAGAGAGAAAAACAGAAAGGGGCUUGCUCUGGUACUGGGAGAGUAGAUGCUGGGAGAGGCUGAGUUUGAAACUGUUCCGUCUCCUUGGUUGGCUCCAGGCAGGGGGCAGGCAGCCAUGUUUACGAAAGUGUCUGCAUCUCUGGGUUUUCUGUUUCUACAGUGGAAACUCGGAAAUAUCUGCCCUGCCCCUCUUAUCUGUUGCAAACCUGGGCCUGCCGUAUAUAACUGAUCCUUUUUUGAAAAUCACAUCUUCUUGACUACUGACAAACAGUGUGUCUGGAACCUGUAAACACAGCCCCUUAUAGCUCAGCAAUCUGGGCUUAUUUGUUAUGUAGCAUAACCUAGGCUGUCCUGACUACUACAUAUUAUAACUCCACUUACAGACAGUGAAACUAAGGUCCAGUUUGCUUACUAAUAUAGGAGAGACCAAGCUAGUUCUUGCCAACGGAGCCUGGAGACAGACCUCUGAGUUGGAUAAGAGAAGCAGGCCAGGUUAGUCCUUAGCUCUGCUCAAGGUGAGUAGUUCACGACUGCUAGUGGGUUGGAAGCUCACUGCCUAGUACACUUGUGGCAGCUCAAGCAAUCAGCUCCUUCUGAUCAUCAGAGAGCAUCUGCACAGUGGAGCAUGAUUCAGCCCCAAGAAGUCACUCUACUUUUUUUUUUGUAAUUAGGAGAUUUUAU